UUUAGUCAAAACCAAUGUUUUGAGGUAUCCAACUGUUGAUUGGGUCAUAGGGUUAACCUGACUAAA
RNAcentral lists this transfer RNA (66 nucleotides) under Linognathus africanus. Its description in RNAcentral is "tRNA-Asn". The record is from RNAcentral. Lineage: Eukaryota; Metazoa; Arthropoda; Insecta; Psocodea; Linognathidae.